RNAcentral lists this ribosomal RNA (357 nucleotides) under uncultured bacterium. RNAcentral's name for it is "partial 16S ribosomal RNA". It matches the Rfam family "Bacterial small subunit ribosomal RNA", at positions 338 to 709 of the family's 1533-position model. The record is from RNAcentral.
CCUACGGGGAGCAGCAGUGGGGAAUAUUGGGCAAUGGAGGCAACUCUGAACCAGCAAUGCCGCGUGAAUGAAGAAGGUCUUCGGAUUGUAAAGUUCUUUAAUCAGGGACGAAGAAGAUGACGGUACCUGAGGAAUAAGCAACGGCAAACUAUGUGCCAGCAGCCGCCGUAAUACAUAGGUGGCAAGCGUUGUCCGGAAUGACUGGGGGGAAAGGGAGCGUAGGCGGUCAGUUAAGUUGGAAGGGAAAUCCCGGGGGUCAAACCCGGCACCGGUGUCAAGACUGGCGGACGUGAGUGGAAGAGAGGUAUGCGGAAUGCGUAGUGUAGCGGUGGAAUGCGUAGAUAUUAGGAGGAACAC